RNAcentral lists this long non-coding RNA (550 nucleotides) under Setaria italica (foxtail millet). RNAcentral describes it as "long non-coding RNA (SITA_LNC002979)". The record is from RNAcentral. Lineage: Eukaryota; Viridiplantae; Streptophyta; Magnoliopsida; Poales; Poaceae.
UUGGAUUAAAAAGAAGGGAUUUAGGCCACUGAAAGUAUUUUCAAAGAUGGGUAAAUGACUCUGAUUAAGUGAUUGUCAAACUGAUAGGGUAUUCAAAGGGAUUCAGUUAAACUGAGAAAAGAAUUCAAAAUUUAACUAUGUUAGGAUGUUUAUCUCGGGCCAGAGUCAAAAUAAAAUUUGAAGAGCUCGAGAUUAUCUAAAACAUUGCUUAAAGGACCUUGGGACCGUCGGAUUCAAAAUCGACCGUAAUUGGGAUCUGAAGUUCGGGCGUCAGAAAAACAAAGAAGGGUGGGGACGACAGAGCAGAGCACGAUGUGUCGCCACCGACGCUCCUGCCCGCUGUCCAGCUCAACAGCUAGGCCACCUCCGCGCCACGCGGGUCUAUAGCUAGGCCACGGUGUUGACCAUGCGCACGGUAAAACUUCAUAUAUCUACCGCUCCCGCCGCCGUGUUCACCGUCGGUUCCUUUUACCGCCGCCGCCGAGCAAAAUUCCCCCACCACACCGCAGCUAUCAUUGAUUCCUUCCGUCCACACCUCCACUCACACCCC